AUUGAACGCUGGCGGCAUGCUUUACACAUGCAAGUCGAACGGUAACAGGGAGCUUGCUCCGCUGACGAGUGGCGAACGGGUGAGUAAUGCAUCGGAACAUGCCCAGUCAUGGGGGAUAACUACGCGAAAGCGUAGCUAAUACCGCAUACGCCCUACGGGGGAAAGCGGGGGACCGUUCGGGCCUCGCGCUAUCAGAUGAGCCUGCGUAGGAUUAGCUUGUUGGUGAGGUAAAGGCUCACCAAGGCGACGAUCCUUAGCUGGUCUGAGAGGAUGAUCAGCCACACUGGAACUGAGACACGGUCCAGACUCCUACGGGAGGCAGCAGUGGGGAAUAUUGCGCAAUGGGCGAAAGACCUGACGCAGCCAUGCCGCGUGUGUGAAGAAGGCCCUUGGGUUGUAAAGCACUUUCAAUUGGGAAGAAAGGUUGCGUGUUAAUAGCACGUAGCUGUGACGUUACCUUUAGAAGAG
This 468-nucleotide ribosomal RNA is filed under the name uncultured bacterium. RNAcentral's name for it is "bacterial SSU rRNA". It matches the Rfam family "Bacterial small subunit ribosomal RNA", at positions 30 to 489 of the family's 1533-position model. The record is from RNAcentral.